This 227-nucleotide small RNA is filed under the name Pongo abelii (Sumatran orangutan). RNAcentral's name for it is "processed transcript". The record is from RNAcentral. Lineage: Eukaryota; Metazoa; Chordata; Mammalia; Primates; Hominidae.
GAGGGGCUGCUGACACACAGCGAGGAAGAGCUGGAACACAGCCAGGACACAGACGCGGAUGAUGGGGCCUUGCAGUAAGCAGACAGACUAAAGAUGGAAAGGAUCCUGAUAUCACCAGAAGACAGCCUCACAAGUGCCUUCUUGUCCCUUGAAAAACCUGAUGGUCUACAGCUAAACAGUUUGGUUGUAGCCUUGUAAAGGAUAAUAAACAUGCAGGAAUCAUAAAC